This 503-nucleotide small RNA is filed under the name Pan troglodytes (chimpanzee). Its description in RNAcentral is "processed transcript". Lineage: Eukaryota; Metazoa; Chordata; Mammalia; Primates; Hominidae. The record is from RNAcentral.
GCCAUUUACAAGAUGGUUUCGUCCGUGAUGAAGAUGCCGGAGGACGAGUCGACCCCGGAAAAGAGGACUGAGAAAAUCUUCCGCCAAAUGGACACAAACAACGACGGCUCUGGGUGGGGACCUGUUGAAGACCCUUCAAGCCCCCUCCAGCCUCCUCCCAGCAACCACCCUCCCAGCCUGGCCAUACCACGAUGGCAGAAGUGACAGAGAGGAUGUUGACCACGCAGUACUGCAGAGCCACCGCAUCUUGAGGGGUGCCCACGUAGCGCAGCACUGUGCCAUGGAACAGGGCAGCUGUGAUGAAGCUCACAUGGCCCAGCACCACCAGCACCAGGCCUGUCUUCAUCAGCACCUUCCGGAAGUCGCCCACACUCAGGCCUCCUGUGGGGGACAGCUAUGUCAGGGCUGUGCGUGGGGCUUAUCCUGCUGGGCAGAAGGGGAAGCUGAGGCCCUGGCCCUAGUGAUGGACAUUGGGUUCUAAAUGUAUUUCUGAAUGACUUGGA